Molecule: ribosomal RNA, 478 nt
Filed under: uncultured bacterium
Lineage: Bacteria
Description: partial 16S ribosomal RNA
Rfam family: Bacterial small subunit ribosomal RNA
Source: RNAcentral
GACGAACGCUGGCGGCGUGCUUAACACAUGCAAGUCGAACGGUAAGGCCCUUCGGGGUACACGAGUGGCGAACGGGUGAGUAACACGUGGGUGAUCUGCCCUGCACUUCGGGAUAAGCCUGGGAAACUGGGUCUAAUACCGGAUAGGACCCUGGGAUGCAUGUCCUGGGGUGGAAAGCUUUUGCGGUGUGGGAUGGGCCCGCGGCCUAUCAGCUUGGUGGUGGGGUGAUGGCCUACCAAGGCGACGACGGGUAGCCGGCCUGAGAGGGUGACCGGCCACACUGGGACUGAGAUACGGCCCAGACUCCUACGGGAGGCAGCAGUGGGGAAUAUUGCACAAUGGGCGCAAGCCUGAUGCAGCGACGCCGCGUGAGGGAUGACGGCCUUCGGGUUGUAAACCUCUUUCAGCACCGACGAAGCGCAAGUGACGGUAGGUGCAGAAGAAGGACCGGCCAACUACGUGCCAGCAGCCGCGGUAA